ACCAGGGCUCCCAACACUGGGAUCUGCGGACCCGCUUGAAGAAGCAGGACUCGCCUUCGUGAAACGAGAAAGGACCAAGCAGAAAAGCAGGAGGUGCCACACCCAGAACAGGCCCAGACGGCCGCCGGGGGACUCUCGCCAUUGCGGUCCGUCCACACCCCUGCCUUUCACCACUGCUCCCUGGCAACCAGGUCCCUACGGGACUCGGGAUUCAACCUACGGGACUCACCUGCCUGCCCCUGCGGACCACCCAGAUGUGCCAAGUGCCAUCUCCCCACCUCCGAGUCUCAGCGCGACCUCCGGGGCUUAUGCCGGCUGGCUCUAAACCCACUGAGUGAAUAAUGACCUGGACUCCAGCAAAGAUGCUGGUCAGAAAGGUACUCCUUUUCCCUCUCUGGGCACCUCCAGGCGGGCUGUGCACUCCCAGGGCAGUGAAAUUCUCAUUUCCAUCUCAUGUGUCUCCUAUCAUGGAAGGUGCACUCCCAUCAUAAAGAACCCAAGCUCUGACACAGACACACCAGACAGGUGGAGAACAGUGUCCCCCAGGGCUCAGUGUGGCUGCUCACAUCCCUCUCCUGGGCAGGACCUUCAGGCUACAGGGAAAAUGGGGAAGCUGGGAGCCAGCAGCCCACAGCCUCCGUCUCCUGGCGCCCUCCCUGUAGCAGAGCCCAAGAAGUAGAGCAGAGGAGCAGCCUGUCCACAAGGAACUGGCCCAGACCGAGACGGUCCAAGUGCACAGUACACGAAGGUUUCAAGGACUCCGCACCAGCAAGAGCGUGAGAUGGCUCACUUUUCCACUCACUACACGUCCAAGAAGUCAUAUUUUGGGUAUACUGAGUUAAUUAAACAUAUUACUAAAAUUGA
This is a non-coding RNA of Callithrix jacchus (white-tufted-ear marmoset), 864 nucleotides long. The record is from RefSeq and is a predicted model, not a curated record. Lineage: Eukaryota; Metazoa; Chordata; Mammalia; Primates; Cebidae.